This 1443-nucleotide ribosomal RNA is filed under the name uncultured organism. RNAcentral describes it as "16S ribosomal RNA". It matches the Rfam family "Bacterial small subunit ribosomal RNA". The record is from RNAcentral.
ACGCUGGCGGCGUGCUUAACACAUGCAAGUCGAACGGAAAGGCCCUGCUUUUGUGGGGUGCUCGAGUGGCGAACGGGUGAGUAACACGUGAGUAACCUGCCCUUGACUUUGGGAUAACUUCAGGAAACUGGGGCUAAUACCGGAUAGGAGCUCCUGCUGCAUGGUGGGGGUUGGAAAGUUUCGGCGGUUGGGGAUGGACUCGCGGCUUAUCAGCUUGUUGGUGGGGUAGUGGCUUACCAAGGCUUUGACGGGUAGCCGGCCUGAGAGGGUGACCGGCCACAUUGGGACUGAGAUACGGCCCAGACUCCUACGGGAGGCAGCAGUGGGGAAUAUUGCACAAUGGGCGGAAGCCUGAUGCAGCAACGCCGCGUGCGGGAUGACGGCCUUCGGGUUGUAAACCGCUUUCGCCUGUGACGAAGCGUGAGUGACGGUAAUGGGUAAAGAAGCACCGGCUAACUACGUGCCAGCAGCCGCGGUGAUACGUAGGGUGCGAGCGUUGUCCGGAUUUAUUGGGCGUAAAGGGCUCGUAGGUGGUUGAUCGCGUCGGAAGUGUAAUCUUGGGGCUUAACCCUGAGCGUGCUUUCGAUACGGGUUGACUUGAGGAAGGUAGGGGAGAAUGGAAUUCCUGGUGGAGCGGUGGAAUGCGCAGAUAUCAGGAGGAACACCAGUGGCGAAGGCGGUUCUCUGGGCCUUUCCUGACGCUGAGGAGCGAAAGCGUGGGGAGCGAACAGGCUUAGAUACCCUGGUAGUCCACGCUGUAAACGGUGGGUACUAGGUGUGGGGUCCAUUCCACGGGUUCCAUGCCGUAGCUAACGCUUUAAGUACCCCGCCUGGGGAGUACGGCCGCAAGGCUAAAACUCAAAGGAAUUGACGGGGCCCCGCACAAGCGGCGGAGCAUGCGGAUUAAUUCGAUGCAACGCGUAGAACCUUACCUGGGUUUGACAUGGAUCGGGAGUGCUCAGAGAUGGGUGUGCCUCUUUUGGGGUCGGUUCACAGGUGGUGCAUGGCUGUCGUCAGCUCGUGUCGUGAGAUGUUGGGUUAAGUCCCGCAACGAGCGCAACCCUUGUUCACUGUUGCCAGCACGUUAUGGUGGGGACUCAGUGGAGACCGCCGGGGUCAACUCGGAGGAAGGUGGGGAUGACGUCAAGUCAUCAUGCCCCUUAUGUCCAGGGCUUCACGCAUGCUACAAUGGCUGGUACAGAGAGUGGCGAGCCUGUGAGGGUGAGCGAAUCUCGGAAAGCCGGUCUCAGUUCGGAUUGGGGUCUGCAACUCGACCUCAUGAAGUCGGAGUCGCUAGUAAUCGCAGAUCAGCAACGCUGCGGUGAAUACGUUCCCGGGGCUUGUACACACCGCCCGUCAAGUCAUGAAAGUUGGUAACACCCGAAGCCGGUGGCCUAACCGUUGUGGGGGAGCCGUCGAAGGUGGGACUGGUGAUUAGGACUA